RNAcentral lists this ribosomal RNA (333 nucleotides) under Triticum aestivum (bread wheat). RNAcentral's name for it is "partial small subunit ribosomal RNA". The record is from RNAcentral. Lineage: Eukaryota; Viridiplantae; Streptophyta; Magnoliopsida; Poales; Poaceae.
AUGCAGUUAUGCUUAUAUGAAUUGUCUGUAUGUGGGAGUCCAAGAGAUCAUGGGGAUCUACCAAGUGGGGACGUGCCAAUUGUCAGCCACUCAUCCAUUAUUUGUCAGUCACCGCAGCAAAAGGACAUGAGAGGCACUCGUCGACCUCUACCCUGCAACAUACGUCAACUUGGUCCCAGCCACAAUGUUCAACCAACCGUAGCUAGCUGGGCCAACUUGCCUAUUCUUGGCUCAAUCUCUGGGGGGGUGUUUUCUUGUAAUAUUUGUAGGUUGUAUGUGUUAAAUCUAGUUAAGUACUUUGUGUCCCUAGUCGUUUCUAAGGUUUACAAUUAG